Long non-coding RNA from Vidua macroura (Pin-tailed whydah), 1312 nucleotides. RefSeq lists it as uncharacterized. The transcript has 3 exons. The record is from RefSeq and is a predicted model, not a curated record. Lineage: Eukaryota; Metazoa; Chordata; Aves; Passeriformes; Viduidae.
UGGGGCCCUGCUCUCCUGGAGAUGGCUGAACACCUGCCUGACCAUGGGAAGUAGUGAAUUAAUUCCUUCUUUUUCUUUGCUUCCAUGCACAGCUUUUGCUUUCUCUAUUAAGCUGCCUUGGUCUCAUACCAGAAGUUUCUAAGCUUUUACACCUCCAGUUCUCACUGUAAUCUCAUUGUUGGGGGAGAGAUCGAGCAGCUGCAUGGGGCUUGGUUGCUGGUUGUGGUUAAACACAAGAGUCACACAGCUGACACAGGAAGCAUAAGUGGCUGUUCCUCUGCCAUCUCAUGUAGAGAAAAUACCUGAAUGGGCAGUUCCCAUAUUCCAUCUAGUUGCCAGAGCCAUCUAGAUACUGGCAUUUUUCAUGGGUAAAAAACCUCAACCCCUAUGGUUUUAUGGAGAAAUACUCCAUAGGAGUUCACUGUCCCUUCCAUAGGAGGGGAAUGGAUACCCCCCAAACAAAAAAGCUUGUCAUUUAUGAACUUAAACUAUCUUAAUUAAAUCUAACAUAGCUACAGAUUUUACUCUGAUAAGUGGUGCUGGCAUCAAGUAAGGGAAAGAGGAGAGCAAACGAAGGCAGGUUACUUGUGUUAGAGACAGUCGGAGGAUUUAGGCAAACUCUAAGCUGAGAGGUCAUUUAGCAAGGCAACAAUUCUAUCUGCUGCAUCCAGCAGGCACAGAAUUUAACCAUUCUCUAACUAGCUUUCUCCAUUUACUACAUUUGAUGUCAAGAAACGUUAACUAAAAGUGGCUUUGAGCUAGCUACAGAACCUGCUUAAAAUGUUGAAUAUUCAGAAAAACUUAAUACCUCAAAACAAAUUCCCAUGAUGCUAUCUUAAAGAAGAAAACAAUUUUUGUAUUUUCCUUUUUUUCUUUUGAAGAUGAAUUUCAUCCCUGAAUAUCUUGGAAAUGUCCAACCAGGGAAGGAAAACUAGAGCCAUACGUUCUCCCUAAAUUCAUUCCAGUUGCACAGGCGAAAUCCCAGUUCCACAAGACAUUGUAAUGGAUUGUGUCCAGAAGUCCUUCUGAGCACAGUGCUCACAUAAGGACCACUGGAGGGACCACUAGUUAAAAGGAUUUACUUUUAAAUUAUCUGACCAUUCUGGAACACACGUGAAUCAAGAAACAUGGACAGGAGUGGGUAUUUCUCAGACAGUGCACUUCGGAUCCCCUUUUGCUCAGACCAGACCUCAAAGGCCACAAUCUGAUCUUGUUUUUCAGUUUGUUAAAGAAAUCCAUAAACCCACAGAUGUUAGAAAGUUUAUUUUCCUGCAUUCUGGCAAACUAAAAUAAAUGAAAACCCAAAACCCUA